Loxodonta africana (African savanna elephant) is the source of this 2026-nucleotide long non-coding RNA. RefSeq lists it as uncharacterized. Lineage: Eukaryota; Metazoa; Chordata; Mammalia; Proboscidea; Elephantidae. The transcript has 3 exons. The record is from RefSeq and is a predicted model, not a curated record.
UCUGUGUAGUGGAUGGUGUUAUUGUCAGUUUUUUUCUUCUGUGCAAUGUUUUCAGUUAUCAGACUAAGACAAAUCAUGGUUAAUCAUGACAGCUACUGGUGAGCGUAAGAAAUCCUAGGCUGUAGGUGCAGUGUUUCUUCAUGGCUGUGAAGAGGACAAAGGAGCCUGGUUUCUCAGUGGUUAAGCACUCGACUGCUAACUGAAAGGCAGUUUGAACCCACCAGCCCCUCCACAGGAGAAAGAUGUGGCAGUCUGUUUCCAUAAAGAUUACAGCCUAGAAAACCCUAUGAGGCUGUUCUACUCUGUCCUAUAGAGUAGCUAUGAGUCAGAAUCGACUCCACAGUAGUGGGUUUGGUAUUUUUGGUGAUGAGGACACCCCUUUGUUCACUCCAUGUGGCAUUUACUUCAGGACAAUGGCAUGACGGUUCCCCUAAUAGAAUGAUGGAUCUGAUCCUGGAAGUGUUUAUUGAUCAUUGCUCGCAGGUCUCUGUGUAAAGCAACGUGGAGACUGGAGGAUAGUUAAUUCGAGUUACUUUACUGUAGUGGACGUCAAAGUUGAGUAUUGGCCCGUGGAAAUGGGUCCUAGGAAAUUUAGGGAAUUUCUCUCUGCUUUGCGUGUGCUGGACUACUUGACCUGCAGGAUUACUCCUGGAAAUGAAGAGCAAUUGCAAAGAGCCUCAGGGUUUUCUCCAAAGCAUUUUACUUUCAUUUUUAUAUGCCCUCCUUUUAGUUCAUUUUUAUAGAGCUGCAGCAGCUUCGUGUGCCUGGCUGGGCUGUAGGAGGAGGGCAGGGUGUGGACACAGAAUGUCCAGGCCUGUGGUUGGGACACGUUUAUGCACGGGAAGGGGGUGGCUGUGCUUCUCUGUGGCUUGCUGCUGGCACAGAGGUACAGAGCUGUGUGGGUCAUUUGGUCCCGUGUCACCGCCAGAGGGAAGCGCUCCUUCUUCUGCCGAGAGGCACUGUGGACUGCAGCUGCACCUCCUUCCUGGAUGUCAUUUAUCACAGCUGGAUGAGGAAGACCCGUCCCAGUAUUCCUGGCUUGUUGUGCCUCGGGUAGACCUUCCACCCUACAUGUGGGUGCUGGGUGUGUUCCCAGAAUAAGGUUCCUGCCUCUCACUGGUCAAGAAUGAGCAGGAACACCUCAUAACACCAAGAAAGUAGUGCCAGGAGCAGAGCUUGUCCUUUGGACCUGGGGUGACUGUGCUGAGGAGCUCAUCGAUCAAGGGAAGAUUGAUGACAAGGACCUGCCCCCAGGGCUGACAGAGAGAGAAAGCCUUCCCCCAGAGCUACACCCUCAAUUUGGACUUGUAGUCUACUAGACUGUGAGAGAAUAAACUUCUGUUUGUUGAAACCAUCCUCUUGUGGUCUUUCUGUUAUAGUAAAAAAAACAACAACUAGAUAACUAAGACAAUAAUCGUAUGCAUCUAAGCUUGCAUAUCAUUAUGUCUUACUUCAAAUUUUCCUGAUCUCCAAUAAAAUUAAAUAUCUCUUCCUCUGUUUAUUGGUCAAAUAUGUUUCUUCUUCUAUUAAACGCAUGUGCAUGUUUGUUUGUUUUUCCCCCUUCCUUCUGGGUCAUACAAGAUCAGUGGUCAGUGUAAUAUUUGGUUUUCCCUAGGGAAAGGUUUCUGUGCAAGGGAUUGCACUCACUGCUUCACUUAUCUGCAUCUGGCUUCUGACAGAGCUCUCUAGGUCCUUAGACAAGCCGUGUUGUUGGAAGUCUCCCUUAUAUGCUCCUCUGCCUUCUCUCUCCUUAGUCUCCUCUCUCAAGAGUUAGCUCAGCCAACACCUUCCCUGUACCUAUUCUUACCUGUUCAUUCAUCAAGCAAAGCACUAUGUAGUUCAUCAUGGAAAUGUUCUCAUGAGUGAAGCUCUUGUUUGGCUGACUUAUCCCUCUUUAUCUCGAGGGCCCAACAUGGUGAGAAGAUGGUGUUGAAUAGUCUAGGAAAGCUGAAGUCCACGUUCACCACAAAAAUCUCAGGAAUUUUAUACAUCUACCUAUAGUGAAUUUUUCCAAUCAAGUUUUCCA